UUCAACAACGGAUCUCUUGGUUCUGGCAUCGAUGAAGAACGCAGCGAAAUGCGAUAAGUAAUGUGAAUUGCAGAAUUCAGUGAAUCAUCGAAUCUUUGAACGCACAUUGCGCCCGUCAGUAUUCUGGCGGGCAUGCCUGUUCGAGCGUCAUUACGCC
RNAcentral lists this ribosomal RNA (157 nucleotides) under Metarhizium guizhouense. Its description in RNAcentral is "5.8S ribosomal RNA". It matches the Rfam family "5.8S ribosomal RNA". Rfam says of the family: 5.8S ribosomal RNA (5.8S rRNA) is a component of the large subunit of the eukaryotic ribosome. It is transcribed by RNA polymerase I as part of the 45S precursor that also contains 18S and 28S rRNA. The record is from RNAcentral. Lineage: Eukaryota; Fungi; Ascomycota; Sordariomycetes; Hypocreales; Clavicipitaceae. RNAcentral also lists the same sequence under 2 other names.